This 77-nucleotide transfer RNA is filed under the name Sphingomonas sp. RNAcentral describes it as "tRNA-Arg". It matches the Rfam family "tRNA". Rfam says of the family: Transfer RNA (tRNA) molecules are approximately 80 nucleotides in length. Their secondary structure includes four short double-helical elements and three loops (D, anti-codon, and T loops). Further hydrogen bonds mediate the characteristic L-shaped molecular structure. tRNAs have two regions of fundamental functional importance: the anti-codon, which is responsible for specific mRNA codon recognition, and the 3' end, to which the tRNAs corresponding amino acid is attached (by aminoacyl-tRNA synthetases). tRNAs cope with the degeneracy of the genetic code in two manners: having more than one tRNA (with a specific anti-codon) for a particular amino acid; and 'wobble' base-pairing, i.e. permitting non-standard base-pairing at the 3rd anti-codon position. RNAcentral also lists the same sequence under 7 other names. The record is from RNAcentral. Lineage: Bacteria; Pseudomonadati; Pseudomonadota; Alphaproteobacteria; Sphingomonadales; Sphingomonadaceae.
CCGCUCCUAGCUCAACUGGAUAGAGCGCCGGGCUUCGAACCCGGAGGUUGGGGGUUCAAGUCCCUCGGAGCGGGCCA